GCUCAGGACGAACGCUGGCGGCGGGCCUAACACAUGCAAGUCGAACGCACUCGACCUUCGGGUCACAUGAGUGAGUGGCGAACGGGUGAGUAACACGUGAGAAACCUGCCCCGAAGACUGGAAUAACCCGGGGAAACUCGGGCUAAUACCGGAUGCCCCCAUCGGAUCGCAUGGUCUGGUGAGGAAAUGCUCCGGCGCUUCGGGAGGGUCUCACGGCCUAUCAGCUAGUUGGUGAGGUAACGGCUCACCAAGGCAACGACGGGUAGCUGGUCUGAGAGGACGAUCAGCCACACUGGGACUGAGACACGGCCCAGACUCCUACGGGAGGCAGCAGUGGGGAAUCUUGCGCAAUGGGCGAAAGCCUGACGCAGCCACGCCGCGUGAGGGAUGAAGGCUCUCGGGUUGUAAACCUCUUUCAGCAGGGACGAAAAUGACGGUACCUGCAGAAGAAGCUCCGGCCAACUACGUGCCAGCAGCCGCGGUAACACGUAGGGAGCGAGCGUUGUCCGGAUUUAUUGGGCGUAAAGAGCUCGUAGGCGGUUCGGUAAGUCAGGUGUGAAAGCUCGAGGCUCAACCUCGAGAAGCCACCUGAUACUGCUGUGACUUGAGUCCGGUAGGGGAGUGUGGAAUUCCUGGUGUAGCGGUGAAAUGCGCAGAUAUCAGGAGGAACACCUACAGCGAAGGCAGCACUCUGGGCCGGUACUGACGCUGAGGAGCGAAAGCGUGGGGAGCGAACAGGAUUAGAUACCCUGGUAGUCCACGCCGUAAACGUUGGGCACUAGGUGUGGGGUCGAAUUAACCGAUUCCGUGCCGCAGCUAACGCAUUAAGUGCCCCGCCUGGGGAGUACGGCCGCAAGGCUAAAACUC
Molecule: ribosomal RNA, 867 nt
Filed under: uncultured Actinomycetes bacterium
Lineage: Bacteria; Bacillati; Actinomycetota; Actinomycetes
Description: SSU rRNA
Rfam family: Bacterial small subunit ribosomal RNA
Source: RNAcentral